RNAcentral lists this ribosomal RNA (409 nucleotides) under Fusobacteriota bacterium. RNAcentral's name for it is "Fusobacteria bacterium partial 16S ribosomal RNA". It matches the Rfam family "Bacterial small subunit ribosomal RNA", at positions 355 to 776 of the family's 1533-position model. The record is from RNAcentral. Lineage: Bacteria; Fusobacteriati; Fusobacteriota.
UGGGGAAUAUUGCACAAUGGAGGGAACUCUGAUGCAGCAACGCCGCGUGCGGGAUGACGGCCUUCGGGUUGUAAACCGCUUUCAGCCAUGACGAAGCUUUUGUGACGGUAGUGGUAGAAGAAGCACCGGCUAACUACGUGCCAGCAGCCGCGGUGAUACGUAGGGUGCGAGCGUUGUCCGGAAUUAUUGGGCGUAAAGAGCUUGUAGGCGGUUUGUCGCGUCGAUAGUGUAAACACGCAGCUUAACUGUGUGCCUGCUGUCGAUACGGGCUGACUAGAGGAGGGUAGGGGGGAAUGGAAUUCCCGGUGGAGCGGUGGAAUGCGCAGAUAUCGGGGGGAACACCAGUGGCGAAGGCGGUUCUCUGGACCUUUCCUGACGCUGAGAAGCGAAAGCGUGGGUAGCAAACAGG